This 434-nucleotide ribosomal RNA is filed under the name uncultured bacterium. Its description in RNAcentral is "partial 16S ribosomal RNA". It matches the Rfam family "Bacterial small subunit ribosomal RNA", at positions 29 to 507 of the family's 1533-position model. The record is from RNAcentral.
AGCGAACGCUGGCGGCAGGCCUAACACAUGCAAGUCGAACGAACCUUUCGGGGUUAGUGGCGGACGGGUGAGUAACACGUGGGAACGUGCCUUUAGGUUCGGAAUAACUCAGGGAAACUUGUGCUAAUACCGAAUGUGCCCUUCGGGGGAAAGAUUAAUCGCCUUUAGAGCGGCCCGCGUCUGAUUAGCUAGUUGGUUGAGGUAAUGGCUCACCAAGGCGACGAUCAGUAGCUGGUCUGAGAGGAUGAUCAGCCACAUUGGGACUGAGACACGGCCCAAACUCCUACGGGAGGCAGCAGUGGGGAAUCUUGCGCAAUGGGCGAAAGCCUGACGCAGCCAUGCCGCGUGAAUGAUGAAGGUCUUAGGAUUGUAAAAUUCUUUUACCGGGGACGAUAAUGACGGUACCCGGAGAAGAAGCCCCGGCUAACUUCGUG